Oryza sativa Japonica Group (Japanese rice) is the source of this 1676-nucleotide non-coding RNA. The record is from RefSeq and is a predicted model, not a curated record. Lineage: Eukaryota; Viridiplantae; Streptophyta; Magnoliopsida; Poales; Poaceae.
AUUUUAUAAUAAUACUUUUUAAUAUUGGUGGUAGUAUAAAUAAAUCCAAACAAUUCAAUCAUUUAUGAGAUAAACGGUUGUUUUCUACUACUGAACCGUUUGGGCGAAGAAAACGCUGGUAGAGAUUUAACUCGAUGAUGAUGUCGCCACGACGCCUUGUAUAUAUUUAGCGCCGCUCGCAUAUCUCAGACUCCAGUCCUCACCAGCUACAGAUGAUUCUUGCGCUUUUGAUUUUCCCUACGCUUUUUUGACUAAAACCCUCGAUUCCUCCUCCAAGAUCCUGGAGAGACUAGCAGCAGCCGUCGCUGUACGUGUGUAUCGUUGCAUGGUGCUGCAAUCUCACGAUGUAUCGGAUCUCUGCAUCGGCAAGCCGCCGGUGAGGUGGCUGCCGCCGUCCUCCACCGUCGCCGAUGCCAUCGCCGAGAUCGAGGCCGGCGGCGGCCGGGGUCCGGACGCUGCCGUCGCCGUGUGGGACGGGACGAAGGGGGAAGUGGAUGGCAGGGUGUGCAUGGCCGACGUGCACCUCUUCCUCUGCGGCGGCGACGGCGAGGCGGCCAGCCUGGCUUCCCCGGCCGCCGCGCUUCAGGCCACGCUCUCCGACCUCCUCGCCGCCGGCGCGCCGCCCGUCCGCCGCAUCGAGCCCCACGCGAGUGUGGUGGAAGCGGUGGACGCCUUCUUGGACGGCGCGCACUGCCUCGUCGUGCCGAUCCGGGAGCGGUGGCGGCGCGCGGCGGCGGCGGGGGAGAUGUGCAUGUGCUGGCUCACGGUGGAGGACGUCGUGCGCUUCUUCGUCGGCUGCAUCGGCCUCUUCGCCCCGACGGCCUCGCUCUGCGGUUUCUCAGCUCAGGCAUCAGUCCGCGAGGCCACGCUCCCGUCGCCGCCGGCGACAGGGCGCUCUCCGCCGUGCCGCUCCUCAGCGCCGCGCUGGCGACGCACUCCUCCGUCGCCGUCAUCACGGGCGCAGGCAUCGCCCCCCGCCUCGCCGGCGAGGUGUCGCCGUCGGCGCUCUGCUCCUGCGACGUAUCCGUCGCGGCGGCCAUCGCCGCGCUCUCGGCUGGCGACCUCACGGCCUUCCUCCACCGCAGCGACCUCCGGUGCCGCCGCAACCUCCCCGGCAUGGUCGACCUCCUGUACGCCGGCGACCCUUCGUCGUGGCCCCCCUCCCCCUCCUCCUCUUCCUCCUCCUCGUCGUCAUCGUCGUCGUUAUCCUCCUUCUCGUCUUCCUCCGACGACGAGGCGGAGGACGGGUACAAACACUAUGCGCCAGCGCCGUGCGCGCGGCGAGACAACAACAGGCAGAUCAUCGCGUGCCACCCGGGGAGCUCGCUGGUGGCGGUGAUGGCGCAGGCGGUCGCGCACCGCGUGACGCAGGUGUGGGUGGUGGACUUCGACGACGGCGAGCUGGUCGGCGUCGUCCGCUUCCUCGACGUGCUCUGGGUUCUUCGCGAACACCUCAACCAACCACCCCUGAUCUACCCAUCGAAUUUCUCAUCAAUUAAUCCCAGUACUAAGCUUCGUUGAUGUACAUACGAGGACAAAAAUUGCGACCAUGAACUGAACCUUUUGUUCAUCUUAAAUUUACGCCAUGUGUUUCGUCGGCGGAUGAACUUGAAACGAAGGAAGAGUCAAAAGAUUGAUGGAGGACAGAAACCACCUGUCCCGACAAAUUUUGCAAA